RNAcentral lists this ribosomal RNA (123 nucleotides) under Danio rerio (zebrafish). Lineage: Eukaryota; Metazoa; Chordata; Actinopteri; Cypriniformes; Danionidae. The record is from RNAcentral.
UGCAGCUUAGAUUGCCCUGCACCAGGUUUGCUUUCAGACCCCUCUCACCCACUGGAGCUAAGCAGGGCUGUGCCCCCUCAGUACCUGAAUGGGAGACCACAUUGGAAAUCUAGGUUGCUGCCG